GACGAACGCUGGCGGCGUGCUUAACACAUGCAAGUCGAACGGACAGGCCCUGCUUUUGUGGGGUGCUCGAGUGGCGAACGGGUGAGUAACACGUGAGUAACCUGCCCUUGACUUUGUGAUAACUUCAGGAAACUGGGGCUAAUACCGGAUAGGAGCUCCUGCUGCAUAGUGGUGGUUGGAAAGUUUCGGCGGUUGGGUAUGGACUCGCGGCUUAUCAGCUUGUUGGUGUGGUAGUGGAUUACCAAGCCUGUGACGGGUAGCCGGCCUGAGAGGGUUACCGGCCACAUUGGGACUGAGAUACGGCCCAGACUCCUACGGGAGGCAGCAGUGGGGAACAUGGCACAAUGGGCGGAAGCCUGAUGCAGAAACGCCGCGUGCGGGAUGACGGCCUUCGGGUUGUAAACCGCUUUCGCCUGUGACGAAGCGUGAGUGACGGUAAUGGGUAAAGAAGCACCGGCUAACUACGUG
Molecule: ribosomal RNA, 468 nt
Filed under: uncultured bacterium
Lineage: Bacteria
Description: partial 16S ribosomal RNA
Rfam family: Bacterial small subunit ribosomal RNA
Source: RNAcentral